AUUGAACGCUGGCGGCAGGCCUAACACAUGCAAGUCGAACGGUAACAGGAAACAGCUUGCUGUUUCGCUGACGAGUGGCGGACGGGUGAGUAAUGUCUGGGAAACUGCCUGAUGGAGGGGGAUAACUACUGGAAACGGUAGCUAAUACCGCACAACGUCGCAAGACCAAAGAGGGGGACCUUCGGGCCUCUUGCCAUCGGAUGGGCCCAGAUGGGAUUAGCUAGUUGGUGGGGUAACGGCUCACCAAGGCGACGAUCCCUAGCUGGUCUGAGAGGAUGACCAGCCACACUGGAACUGAGACACGGUCCAGACUCCUACGGGAGGCAGCAGUGGGGAAUAUUGCACAAUGGGCGCAAGCCUGAUGCAGCCAUGCCGCGUGUAUGAAGAAGGCCUUCGGGUUGUAAAGUACUUUCAGCGGGGAGGAAGGGAGUAAAGUUAAUACCUUUGCUCAUUGACGUUACCCGCAGAAGAAGCACCGGCUAACUCCGUGCCAGCAGCCGCAGUAA
This 506-nucleotide ribosomal RNA is filed under the name uncultured bacterium. Its description in RNAcentral is "partial 16S ribosomal RNA". It matches the Rfam family "Bacterial small subunit ribosomal RNA", at positions 30 to 523 of the family's 1533-position model. The record is from RNAcentral.